UACGAAGGGGGCUAGCGUUGCUCGGAAUUACUGGGCGUAAAGAGUACGUAGGCGGACUGAUUAGUUGGUGGUGAAAUCCCAGGGCUCAACCUUGGAACUGCCAUCAAUACUGUCAGUCUGGAGCAUAGUAGAGGUUAGUGGAAUUCCAAGUGUAGAGGUGAAAUUCGUAGAUAUUUGGAGGAACACCAGUGGCGAAGGCGACUGACUGGGCUAUUGCUGACGCUGAGGUACGAAAGCGUGGGGAGCAAACAGG
This 253-nucleotide ribosomal RNA is filed under the name uncultured bacterium. Its description in RNAcentral is "partial 16S ribosomal RNA". It matches the Rfam family "Bacterial small subunit ribosomal RNA", at positions 524 to 776 of the family's 1533-position model. The record is from RNAcentral.